UACGUGGGGCGCAAGCGUUAUCCGGAAUUAUUGGGCGUAAAGAGCUCGUAGGCGGUUUGUCGCGUCUGCCGUGAAAGUCCGGGGCUCAACUCCGGAUCUGCGGUGGGUACGGGCAGACUAGAGUGAUGUAGGGGAGACUGGAAUUCCUGGUGUAGCGGUGAAAUGCGCAGAUAUCAGGAGGAACACCGAUGGCGAAGGCAGGUCUCUGGGCAUUAACUGACGCUGAGGCACGAAGGUCAGGGGAGCAAACGGG
Molecule: ribosomal RNA, 253 nt
Filed under: uncultured bacterium
Lineage: Bacteria
Description: partial 16S ribosomal RNA
Rfam family: Bacterial small subunit ribosomal RNA
Source: RNAcentral